Molecule: ribosomal RNA, 396 nt
Filed under: uncultured bacterium
Lineage: Bacteria
Description: bacterial SSU rRNA
Rfam family: Bacterial small subunit ribosomal RNA
Source: RNAcentral
AUUGAACGCUGGCGGCAUGCCUUACACAUGCAAGUCGAACGGCAGCACGGGAGCAAUCCUGGUGGCGAGUGGCGAACGGGUGAGUAAUAUAUCGGAACGUGCCCAGUCGUGGGGGAUAACGUAGCGAAAGCUACGCUAAUACCGCAUACGAUCUAUGGAUGAAAGCGGGGGAUCGCAAGACCUCGCGCGAUUGGAGCGGCCGAUAUCAGAUUAGGUAGUUGGUGGGGUAAAAGCCUACCAAGCCUUCGAUCUGUAGCUGGUCUGAGAGGACGACCAGCCACACUGGAACUGAGACACGGUCCAGACUCCUACGGGAGGCAGCAGUGGGGAAUUUUGGACAAUGGGCGCAAGCCUGAUCCAGCCAUGCCGCGUGAGUGAAGAAGGCCUGGUUGUAAG